GAUGAACGCUGGCGGCGUGCCUAAUACAUGCAAGUCGAACGCUUCGCUUCGGUGAAGAGUGGCGAACGGGUGAGUAAUACAUAAGUAACCUGGCAUCUACAGGGGGAUAACUGAUGGAAACGUCAGCUAAGACCGCAUAGGUGUAGAGAUCGCAUGAACUCUAUAUGAAAAGUGCUACGGGACUGGUAGAUGAUGGACUUAUGGCGCAUUAGCUUGUUGGUAGGGUAACGGCCUACCAAGGCGACGAUGCGUAGCCGACCUGAGAGGGUGACCGGCCACACUGGGACUGAGACACGGCCCAGACUCCUACGGGAGGCAGCAGUAGGGAAUUUUCGGCAAUGGGGGAAACCCUGACCGAGCAACGCCGCGUGAAGGAAGAAGUAAUUCGUUAUGUAAACUUCUGUCAUAGAGGAAGAACGGUGGAUAUAGGGAAUGAUAUCCAAGUGACGGUACUCUAUAAGAAAGCCACGGCUAACUA
Molecule: ribosomal RNA, 478 nt
Filed under: uncultured bacterium
Lineage: Bacteria
Description: bacterial SSU rRNA
Rfam family: Bacterial small subunit ribosomal RNA
Source: RNAcentral